Molecule: long non-coding RNA, 2416 nt
Filed under: Homo sapiens (human)
Lineage: Eukaryota; Metazoa; Chordata; Mammalia; Primates; Hominidae
Description: HSALNT0034664
Source: RNAcentral
CUCAGCUACACACAGGGUAUUUCAGAGACUUGCAACUGAGAAACUGAAUGUUCCAUCUCCAGAUAGCCAGCUUCAUUACGUCUUCUUUCCUUCACUCCAUUUUCUGCUUUUUUCAUCUGUUAACAGUUCUUGUUGCUCCUCAUUUUAGGGCUUCCAAGACAUCCUCAAAUACUCUCUUGCUGGUGUUAUCAAACCAAGCUGGGGUCUGCUCACUCAGUGCGGCAAAGCCAAACACUGACAUAGGGACUGCAGUGAGAGAAAGUGAGGCAUUUAUGGCAAGGCACCAAGCAAGAAGAGGUGAGCAGCUAACGCUGAAGACUCCAACUUCCCAAUGACUUACAGAUGAGAAAAAUCAAGAAUGAGGAGAGUUAGUACCAUGCAGAUGGUCCCAGGAUGAAACCAGAAUAUGAACUCAGGCAGUCCAGCUGCUCAACCUGUGUUCUUAACCUUCAUGCAUAUCAUGUGCCAGCCCUGUGUUGUGAUGGGUACUUGGGAAGAUGCCCACAAAAAGCACAUGAUACCUGUUCUCAAGAAGCUCACAGGCUGACGUAACAAAGUGCCACAAACUGGGUGGCUUAAAACAACAGAAAUUUAUUACUGCAUAGUUCUGGAGACUAGAAAUCUGAAACCAAGUUGUUGGCAGGUCCACGCUCCCUCAGAACCCUCUAGGGGAGAAUCCUUCCUCGCCUCUUCCAGCUCAGGUUCUAGCCACCUCCCGCAUUCAGAUACAACCACCAUCGCAGGUUGACUGUGUUCCCUGUCGUUUAAUCUUUCUCUACUUUGACAGGCUGCUCUGGAAGAAGCAGACCAUUUCCUGAGGUGUAAACAUAGCUUCUGAUAAUGCCAACCUCAUGAGGUCAGUCUGCUCUCGGAAGUCCACUGGUCAACUACAGAGCUCAGAUACACAUUUCCUCUUCAAGGUUUCUUGGAGUAAGAUGAAGAUAUGAACUGACAUCUUUGAUGGAAACCAUGGAGCAAAAAUCAGGCCGUUUGUGAGGAUAUCUUCAGACACCUUGUCAAGCUGAAGUCACAGCAGAGUGGUAUCUGGCCCUACCCAAAAAUCUCAGCCAUCCUUUGAGAAGGUAGGUUAGAAAAUGCAAUUCUGUGGAAAGUCUGAUUAUGGGGAUAGGAGCCCAGUGCAAUGUAGCUUCUAUCCAACUCCUGAACUUCUAUGUGAGUGCCCUCUUCCCUCAGAAAGCCAGCGUGCUCCUCUAACUGGACACUGCAUGUGAACAUUUGCUGCUUCUUUAUUUUUUCUGUUUCUACUCCAAAUAUGGAAAGUCUUUUGGUGUCAGAUGAGCAGAGGAUAUGGCCAGUGGGUAUGGCCACGAGGCUGGAACACAGAUCCUGGGUAAAAAGCUUAGAGUAAGCAGAGAAAAUCUACCAUCUGCAAAUAAAAUCUAGCAAAACCUAUGUAUUUGAUACCUGUGUUUUCAUGUUUUAAAAAUGAAUAUUUUCUUUACAAAAUCCUAUGUCCCAGGGUUUUUCUUAAUGUAUUUGAAUAAAACUCUGGAUUUGAUAUCCUGAAAUCACAAUAGUUUUCCCAUUCAGGAACCCAACCGAUUCCUAUUGCAUAAAAGAGGGUAUAUCUGAGUUUUCAAGCAACACAAGUUACCAGAUAUUUUUCAUCUUCUCUGAGGACUGAGGAGGAAGAGACAGAUAUACCCAGAGGAUAGAAGAACAAUGUACAUUAUUUAGACGACGGAAUUUUCUCUGUGUUCAAAUUAUUAAGCUCUGAGAUCUUCUCUCAGUGCCCAUCAGAAAGGGGGCACCCAGAAACACCUCAUGAUGCAGAUAAUAAAAUGGUCAUAAACACUGGAAGAGUUUGCCCUGAAAAACAAAAUUCUUUUAAGUAGAUUGAAUAAAUAGGUGGCCAUAGAGGCAAAGGAAUUGCCUGUAUAAAUAAUGAAAUAUUCUUUAGCUUUGUUAUUCCAGAAAUGCACACAAUAUCCAGAAUUAAUAUUCCAGAAUCCCAUGAAUGUUUUUAUCAUAUUUUCUUCCACCUUACCAGAUAGUACUUGCAUAUUUAUGAUACACGGGGAUUUAAAUAUCUUUUUAAAAACCCACUCUUGUCCAUGAGAAAACAAUAACUGAAUGCAAGGGUCCCAUACUUUUUCUGUAAAGGGCCAGAUAAUACAUGUUUUUUGGCUUACAUGCCAGAUGGUUUCUGUCACAACUACUCAACUCUGCCAUUACAGUGCAAAAGCAGCCAUAAACAAUAAGUAAACAAAUGAGCGUGGCUGUGUUCCAAUAAAACUUUAUUUACUAAAACAGGUGGUGGGCCAGAUUUGGCCCACUAGCUAUAGCUUGCUGAUUCCUGAUCCGGAAGAAUGACUCCCAAUCUAUGGACUACAGACUCAUGGCAGAUCUGCAAUUUAUAGAAAAGAAAAUUCAAAUCCAUAUGCACACCAAGAAC